This 86-nucleotide ribosomal RNA is filed under the name Bacillus siamensis. Lineage: Bacteria; Bacillati; Bacillota; Bacilli; Caryophanales; Bacillaceae. The record is from RNAcentral.
UUUGGUGGCGAUAGCGAAGAGGUCACACCCGUUCCCAUGCCGAACACGGAAGUUAAGCUCUUCAGCGCCGAUGGUAGUCGGGGCUU